GAUGAACGCUGGCGGCGUGCCUAAUACAUGCAAGUCGAGCGAACGGACGCGAAGCUUGCUUCUCUGAUGUUAGCGGCGGACGGGUGAGUAACACGUGGAUAACCUACCUAUAAGACUGGGAUAACUUCGGGACACCGUAGCUAAUACCGGAUAAUAUUUUGAACCGCAUGGUUCAAAAGUGAAAGACGGUCUUGCUGUCACUUAUAGAUGGAUCCGCGCUGCAUUAGCUAGUUGGUAAGGUAACGGCUUACCAAGGCAACGAUGCAUAGCCGACCUGAGAGAGUGAUCGGCCACACUGGAACUGAUACACGGUCCAGACGCCUACGGGAGGCAGCAGUAGGGAAUCUUCCGCAAUGGGCGAAAGCCUGACGGAGCAACGCCGCGUGAGUGACGAAGGUCUUCGGAUCGUAAAACUCUGUUAUGAGGGAAGAACAUAUGUGGAAGGAACUGUGCACAGCGUGACGGUACCUAAUCAGAAAGCCACGGCUAACUACGUG
RNAcentral lists this ribosomal RNA (497 nucleotides) under uncultured bacterium. RNAcentral describes it as "partial 16S ribosomal RNA". It matches the Rfam family "Bacterial small subunit ribosomal RNA", at positions 28 to 507 of the family's 1533-position model. The record is from RNAcentral.